CGUCUUUAGAUAAAUUAAAGGUACCGCCUGCUCCAUGCUUUAAUGUAAAUAGCCGCAGUAUUUUGACUGUGCUAAGGUAGCAUAAUCAUUCGUCUCUUAAUUAGAGGCUUGUAUGAAUGGCAACACGAGAGAAUUUCUGUCUCUUAGAAAAGUAUUGAAUUUCAUUUUUGAGUGAAAAAGCUUAAAUAUUUUCAUUGGACGAUCAGACCCUAUGGAGUUUUAUUGAAUUAAAGAUUUAAGCAAAAUUUUGAUUGUACCAUCUUUAUUUCUUUUUGGUUGGGGCGACUGGGAGUCUUAAGUACCACUCCUUUUAUUAAACAAAUAUUUUUGGAAAAUUGAUCCCAGCAGAUGGAUUAAAAGUCUAAGUUACCCUAGGGAUAACAGCGUAAUCCUUCUGGAGAGCUCUUAUCGAUAGAAGGGGUUGCGACCUCGAUGUUGGAUUGAGAAAUUACUAGGGUGCAGCAGCUCUAGAAAAAAGUCUGUUCGACUUUUAGAUUCUC
Molecule: ribosomal RNA, 500 nt
Filed under: Bosminopsis zernowi
Lineage: Eukaryota; Metazoa; Arthropoda; Branchiopoda; Diplostraca; Bosminidae
Description: partial large subunit ribosomal RNA
Rfam family: Bacterial large subunit ribosomal RNA
Source: RNAcentral